AACGCGAAGAACCUUACCUACCCUUGACAUGUGGAAUGCAAGAGAUUUGGCGGUGCAAGAAAACCGAGAACACAGUGUGCUGCGUGGCGUGCCGUGGUGAGAUGUUGGGUUAACCGCCACGAGCGCCACCCUUGAUUAGUUGCUACCAAAGGGCACUAAUGAGACUGCCACGUGACAAACAGGAGGAAGGUGGGGAUGACGAGACCAUGGCCCUUAUGGGUAGGGCUGCCCCAUACAAUGGUGGACAGAGGGGCCCACCCGCGAGGGGGAGCCAACCAUAAACCCGACUAUCAGAGCAUUGCUACGACUGCAUGAAGAGAAGAUACUAAAGAAGAAUGACUGCGAAUACGUACGGGCUGGACACGCCCAACGACCGAGCCCGCACUGCAAAUGCCUGCGUGCGAACUUCCUAUAGCGAGUUAUUAGAACUUGACCUUGAUGGAUAGCUGUUCUG
This 454-nucleotide ribosomal RNA is filed under the name uncultured Pseudomonadota bacterium. Its description in RNAcentral is "bacterial SSU rRNA". The stretch from base 1 to 317 matches the Rfam family "Bacterial small subunit ribosomal RNA", at positions 958 to 1325 of the family's 1533-position model. Lineage: Bacteria; Pseudomonadati; Pseudomonadota. The record is from RNAcentral.